Molecule: long non-coding RNA, 1322 nt
Organism: Triticum aestivum (bread wheat)
Lineage: Eukaryota; Viridiplantae; Streptophyta; Magnoliopsida; Poales; Poaceae
Exons: 3
Source: RefSeq, a predicted model, not a curated record
CGGCCAUUGGAUCUGUUGUUUUAGGCGUUCAUUGCCGUUAGAUGCCUUGGUCAAUGCGCGCAUGGGCCGCAGAUCAUGGGCAACGAAUUGGGCUGACGCCAUGAGGGCCGCUAUUCCCGUAGCAAAAUCUGAACUCUCUGGUUGAUUCAGGCCCGCACGUGGUGUUGCGGCAUCACCAUCCAUGCUGCUUGCCUUCCAUCUCCUCAGCCACCGCCGCCGCCCCUCUCCUCCGUCCUCCACCAGAAAAUCGUCAAUUCCUCUCGCACUCCCAUGAUCAGCGGCGAAGGUGAGAGGGCGACAGAUCCGCAUGGGUGAGGAGGUGUCGCUGAUAGUCAGAGCGCCCCGGCUGGGUUCGGGUUAAACUUCUCUUCCCCGUUUUCCUCUAGCAUGGCCGAGAGCUGAUCCUCGAGAUGAUCCUCCCACUGGACGCUGGGGUGCCUCAUCGCCUGGGUCAUCUGUUCACCUCAGUUGCAACAGACUGCGAUGACCAUCGCGAUUGCCUUGCUCCUGUUUCCAGGCGAUGGAUUCGACGCCCCCUGUGUCCCUCAGCUUCACCAUCAGCCAAAAUCUGGAUGCGCCCCAUCUUUAAUCAUCGUGCACUCCUCGCCCCCUUGCAAGGAGGAGGCCAGCAUCCAACAAGAUAUGGUGCUACAAAAUCAGCAAAUCAGUUUUGUUUCCAUUGAGCUGCUGCCUGGAUUGCUACCGAUCUAACAGAGGAUGUCCAGGGAAUGUGCUGGUACCAGCGCCCAUAGGGCUUCUAUUCAGAUUCUGCAGUUGAAGAAUGUAGAUAAAAUAUCUACUCCAGACUUGAUUCCCUCUUGUGUGUAACUUAGUGACUUUUUUAUUCUUGCAAAAAAUGAUAUGUUUGAGACCUCAAUAGUAAAGCAUUUGGUCUUGCUUUGUUUGUGCUAAAAAUGUGUUCUUAUCAUUUUAGUGAGCUAGCGUCCAACAGAGGACAUGUUUCUCAAAAAAAGAUGUAUCAUGUAUGCAAAGCUAAGAGUAUAAUAUGAAGAUUUUACUUUCAUCCUCGUAGUAAUUGUUGCAUUUUCAGAUCUUUGUCUCCGUAGUGGGUAAACACUGCAUAUGUAGCUGCCUGUCAAUGUUAUCUCUUAUGCAUUCUUGAAAUUCCCUGCAAAUUCUUGCUUAAGGUUACUGUUCACCGAGUGAAAGCAGAUGUUGCUCCAUCGUAGCUUAGUAUCUUUUAGUUUUUUACUUACUACUUACAGAAGUAUCUUUCAUAUCUAAAGAAAAAGGGAAGCAUUCGUGAACAAAAUUGUUUCAGCCUAAUGUAGAAUAUUCCAUAGUUGAUCUUGUCUCUAUGU